GGAUUUCAACAACUAUGAUACACAAAGUAGAUUCUGACCAUAUUAUUUUCUCCACAGUCUACAAUCCAGCACCUAUUGAGAAGAGGCAGGGGACAGAACCUUCCAGACGCUUCCUGAUGGACACGAACACUCGGAUGCUCAAACAUGAAGUUAACGAAAUGAACAGAAGAGUUUCCGGCUUCUACAAUCCUCCAGCUUAUGAGGUGAGGAAGGGGACCCAGAAUUCUCACCCCACUCUUGUGGAUCCCAGAACUGGACAACUGCUGCCGCCUUUAACCGAGCUGCAGAGGAACGCAGAACCACAUCGCCAUUCCCGUUGAGUUCCGCAGGCAGGGAACAGAACCUUCCAGACGCUUCCUGAUUGACAUCAACACUGGGAUACUCAAGGAGGGACUUGACAAAAUGAACAGAAGAUUUUCUGGCUGUAAGCCUGCAAAAUGAGUGGAUUUCAACAACUAUGAUACACAAAGUAGAUUCUGACCAUAUUAUUUUCUCCACAGUUUACAAUCCAGCACCUAUUGAGAAGAGGGAGGGGACAGAACCUUCCAGACGCUUCCUGAUGGACAUGAACACUGGGAUGCUCAAACAUGAAGUUAACGAAAUGAACAGAAGAGUUUCCGGCUUCUACAAUCCUCCAGCUUAUGAGGUGAGGAAGGGGACCCAGAAUUCUCACCCCACUCUUGUGGAUCCCAGAACUGGACAACUGCUGCCGUCUUUAACCGAGCUGCAGAGGAACGCAGCUCCAUUGGAUGAGUUCAGACAAGGCACUGAACCUUCCAGAAACCUCCUGAUGGACCUGAAUGCAGGUCUACUUAAGGAACACCAAAAUAUGAUGGACAGGAGACCAGGCUGUAAGUCUGAAGUUCAAAUAUCUGAGAACAAAACAUUUAUGUAAUUGAAUCAGCC
This 906-nucleotide long non-coding RNA is filed under the name Sinocyclocheilus anshuiensis. RNAcentral describes it as "lncRNA (ENSSANG00000049462.1)". Lineage: Eukaryota; Metazoa; Chordata; Actinopteri; Cypriniformes; Cyprinidae. The record is from RNAcentral.